CAGGAAGUAGUUUAAGACAGAAUAUCAGCUUUGGGUGUUGAUGGCGGGGCGUAGGGCCUUCUUCCUGA
RNAcentral lists this transfer RNA (68 nucleotides) under Sminthopsis douglasi (Julia Creek dunnart). RNAcentral's name for it is "transfer RNA-Pro". Lineage: Eukaryota; Metazoa; Chordata; Mammalia; Dasyuromorphia; Dasyuridae. The record is from RNAcentral.